This 35-nucleotide transfer RNA is filed under the name Brachyscome ciliaris. RNAcentral describes it as "partial tRNA-Phe". The record is from RNAcentral. RNAcentral also lists the same sequence under 12 other names. Lineage: Eukaryota; Viridiplantae; Streptophyta; Magnoliopsida; Asterales; Asteraceae.
UUGGGAUAGCUCAGUUGGUAGAGCAGAGGACUGAA